GUGCUUCACCAGCACAUAUACCAAAAUUGAAAAGAUACAGAGAAGAUUAGCAGGCCCCUGUGUGAGAAUGACAUGCAAAUUUGUGAAGCAUUCAUUAUUUUU
Small nuclear RNA from Marmota marmota marmota (Alpine marmot), 102 nucleotides. The record is from Ensembl. NCBI's taxonomy places the organism in Eukaryota, Metazoa, Chordata, Mammalia, Rodentia, Sciuridae.